This 170-nucleotide ribosomal RNA is filed under the name uncultured Bacteroidota bacterium. RNAcentral describes it as "uncultured Bacteroidetes bacterium partial 16S ribosomal RNA". It matches the Rfam family "Bacterial small subunit ribosomal RNA", at positions 346 to 513 of the family's 1533-position model. Lineage: Bacteria; Pseudomonadati; Bacteroidota. The record is from RNAcentral.
AGGCAGCAGUGAGGAAUAUUGGACAAUGGGCGCAAGCCUGAUCCAGCCAUGCCGCGUGCAGGAUGACGGUCCUAUGGAUUGUAAACUGCUUUUGUACAGGAAGAAACACCUCUACGUGUAGAGACUUGACGGUACUGUAAGAAUAAGGAUCGGCUAACUCCGUGCCAGCA